RNAcentral lists this ribosomal RNA (438 nucleotides) under Salmonella enterica subsp. enterica serovar Dublin. RNAcentral's name for it is "partial 23S ribosomal RNA". It matches the Rfam family "Bacterial large subunit ribosomal RNA", at positions 2385 to 2822 of the family's 2925-position model. Lineage: Bacteria; Pseudomonadati; Pseudomonadota; Gammaproteobacteria; Enterobacterales; Enterobacteriaceae. The record is from RNAcentral.
CGGCGCGAGCAGGUGCGAAAGCAGGUCAUAGUGAUCCGGUGGUUCUGAAUGGAAGGGCCAUCGCUCAACGGAUAAAAGGUACUCCGGGGAUAACAGGCUGAUACCGCCCAAGAGUUCAUAUCGACGGCGGUGUUUGGCACCUCGAUGUCGGCUCAUCACAUCCUGGGGCUGAAGUAGGUCCCAAGGGUAUGGCUGUUCGCCAUUUAAAGUGGUACGCGAGCUGGGUUUAGAACGUCGUGAGACAGUUCGGUCCCUAUCUGCCGUGGGCGCUGGAGAACUGAGGGGGGCUGCUCCUAGUACGAGAGGACCGGAGUGGACGCAUCACUGGUGUUCGGGUUGUCAUGCCAAUGGCACUGCCCGGUAGCUAAAUGCGGAAGAGAUAAGUGCUGAAAGCAUCUAAGCACGAAACUUGCCCCGAGAUGAGUUCUCCCUGAGACU